GUGCGUGAGAUGUUGGGUUAAGUCCCGCAACGAGCGCAACCCCUGUCCUUAGUUGCCCCCGGGUCAUGCCGUGGCACUCUAAGGAGACUGCCGGCGUUAAGCCGGAGGAAGGUGGGGAUGACGUCAAGUCCUCAUGGCCCUUAUGUCCAGGGCUACACACGUGCUACAAUGGGCGGUACAAAGGGAUGCAAGCUCGCGAGGGUGAGCCAAUCCCAAAAAGCCGCUCUCAGUUCGGAUUGCAGUCUGCAACUCGACUGCAUGAAGCUGGAAUCGCUAGUAAUCGCGGAUCAGCACGCCGCGGUGAAUACGUUCUCGGGCCU
RNAcentral lists this ribosomal RNA (320 nucleotides) under uncultured bacterium. RNAcentral's name for it is "bacterial SSU rRNA". It matches the Rfam family "Bacterial small subunit ribosomal RNA", at positions 1062 to 1381 of the family's 1533-position model. The record is from RNAcentral.